GGGAUUGUGCCAGCAGCCCGGUAAUACGGAGGGUGCAAGCGUUAUCCGGAUUCACUGGGUUUAAAGGGUGCGUAGGUGGGAAUGUAAGUYAGUKGUGAAAUCUCCGUGCUCAACAUGGAAACUGCCAUUGAUACUAUGUUUCUUGAAUCUUCCGGAGGUCAGCGGAAUAUGUCAUGUAGCGGUGAAAUGCUUAGAUAUGACAUAGAACACCAAUUGCGAAGGCAGCUGACUACAGGGGCAUUGACACUGAGGCACGAAAGCGUGGGGAUCAAACAGGAUUAGAUACCCUGGUAGUCCACGCCCUAAACGAUGGAUACUCGACAUUUGUGAUACACAAUAAGUGUCUGAGCGAAGCAUUAAGUAUCCCACCUGGGAAGUACGACCGCAAGGUUGAAACUCAAAGGAAUUGGCGGGGGUCCGCACAAGCGGUGGAGCAUGUGGUUUAAUUCGAUGAUACGCGAGGAACCUUACCCGGGCUAGAAUGCAUUUUGACCGCCGGUGAAAGCUGGUUUUGUAGCAAUACACAGAAUGUAAGGUGCUGCAUAGCUGUCGUCAGCUCGUGCCGUGAGGUGUUGGGUUAAGCCCCGCAACGAGCGCAACCCCUAUCAUUAGUUGCCAACAGGUCAAGCUGGGAACUCUAGUGAAACUGCCGUCUUAAGACGUGAGGAAGGAGGGGAUGAUGUCAAGUCAUCAUGGCCUUUAUGCCCGGGGCUACACACGUGCUACAAUGGGGAGGACAAAGAGCUGCUACCUGGUGACAGGAUGCCAAUCUCAAAAACCUUCUCUCAGUUCAGAUUGCAGGCUGCAACUCGCCUGCAUGAAGCUGGAAUCGCUAGUAAUCGUAGAUCAGCAACGCUACGGUGAAUACGUUCCCGGACCUUGCACUCACCGCCCGUC
RNAcentral lists this ribosomal RNA (897 nucleotides) under uncultured organism. Its description in RNAcentral is "SSU rRNA". It matches the Rfam family "Bacterial small subunit ribosomal RNA", at positions 495 to 1398 of the family's 1533-position model. The record is from RNAcentral.